GACGAACGCUGGCGGCGUGCUUAACACAUGCAAGUCGAACGAUGAAGCCCAGCUUGCUGGGUGGAUUAGUGGCGAACGGGUGAGUAACACGUGGGCAACCUGCCCCAAACUCUGGGAUAACUCCUCGAAAGAGGUGCUAAUACCGGAUACGAACUAGACAGACAUCUGUACUAGUUGGAAAGUCUUUCGGUUUGGGAUGGGCCCGCGGCCUAUCAGCUUGUUGGUGAGGUAACGGCUCACCAAGGCUACGACGGGUAACCGGCCUGAGAGGGCGACCGGUCACACUGGGACUGAGACACGGCCCAGACUCCUACGGGAGGCAGCAGUGGGGAAUAUUGCGCAAUGGGCGAAAGCCUGACGCAGCGACGCCGCGUGAGGGAUGAAGGUCUUCGGAUCGUAAACCUCUUUCAGUAGGGACGAAGCGAAAGUGACGGUACCUAAAGAAGAAGCACCGGCUAACUACGUGCCAGCCGCCGCCGUAA
Molecule: ribosomal RNA, 482 nt
Filed under: uncultured bacterium
Lineage: Bacteria
Description: partial 16S ribosomal RNA
Rfam family: Bacterial small subunit ribosomal RNA
Source: RNAcentral